This 1242-nucleotide long non-coding RNA is filed under the name Pan troglodytes (chimpanzee). RNAcentral describes it as "lncRNA (ENSPTRG00000053498.1)". Lineage: Eukaryota; Metazoa; Chordata; Mammalia; Primates; Hominidae. The record is from RNAcentral.
CUACUGUGACUGAAGCAGCAAAGGGAAGAUGGUAAGUUAUCCACAGGCACUUAAAGCCCCUGCCUGGAAGUGCUACAUGUCACUUCUCACAUUUCAUAGUCAAAGCAAAUCACAAAGCCACUUCAAGGGGCAGGGAAAAACACAGGACCUUUCAAGGAGAGGGAAAUGCAAUUUCCCUUCUGCCCAAGGGGAAAAAUUAGAGAUAUUUAGGGCAUGGCAUUAAUGACCAGACAUAUAGGACCACAAUGUGAAAAACAGUUCAUACACAUACCACAGUGUGGUCCUAUGUGUCUGGGCCUCCUGAAAAUAUAGAACAAUUUUGUUGGAUAGCCUGCCUGACUCUGAGCAAGGAGAUAUUCUUAUGUCCCCUAUAUCUAUUUUGACUGUUUAUGAUAUUAUAUUUGCAUAAAGCCCUGAGGAAAUGAGACACUGUGUUGGUGAGGUUUGAUGGGGCAUGAUAGAUAAAAAGGAGUAGUGUGGGGUGUGCGAUGGGGGAAUCCUGUGAACAUCCUCAGCUCUGGGGAGGUUGUAAGUUCCCAAAGUGCUGAGGAUUGUAGUGCAUUAUUUUCCUGAUCUCUUCCUGUUCUUCCUGCUUUAUUUAGAGAGUUAGGUAUUCGGCAAGUUUCUUGUAUUUCCUUCUCCCCUCCAUUUUCAUUCUCUUCUUCUAAUACUGCCUAGAAUAAGUGGUUCUUCACUCUGCUUCACACUGCUGCCUUGUUUUUCCACAAGCAGAACCCUGAGAAAGGCUCUGCUUAUAUUUCUUCUUCUUUUAAUGUUGCGCCCUGUGACAUGAGCAUUUGGGUUCACAUGCUAUGGUAUGGAUUCUUAAAGGAAUAUGCUCAUACACUCUACCUGACCCAAUUUCACUUUAACUUUUUGAAGGGUGGCUUUGAAAUCAGAAUUGGAUGCAGAGGGAGUCCCAGAGGCCAACACUGUGAACAUAAGAAGGGAAAGACCAGUUCUGCAAGCACAGAUGAAAUUUUGAGAAGCAGAGCUACAGUUCUGCCGGAGGCCUCUCCAGAUUGUGAUGCACUGGGAGCAAGCCACCGUGAACAUAUCCUCAGGUCUCCAGUCUUCUGCCAUCGCAUGAAAAAUGGAGCUUGUCAAACACGGAGCAGAGCUGAACUUUCUGAAUUCCACGGGACAGUUCAGAGUGCUUGGAAUGACACCCACCCGCAAUUAAAACAAAAAAGAAGGAUGAUUUGCUGCUACAUUUGUGUGGGAAGUGCUGCUUGCCGAUAG